This 139-nucleotide ribosomal RNA is filed under the name uncultured bacterium. Its description in RNAcentral is "partial 16S rRNA". It matches the Rfam family "Bacterial small subunit ribosomal RNA", at positions 355 to 511 of the family's 1533-position model. The record is from RNAcentral.
UGGGGAAUAUUGCACAAUGGGGGAAACCCUGAUGCAGCAACGCCGCGUGAGUGAUGAAGGUUUUCGGAUCGUAAAGCUCUGUCUUUGGGGAAGAUAGUGACGGUACCCAAGGAGGAAGCCACGGCUAACUACGUGCCAA